This 59-nucleotide transfer RNA is filed under the name Coriobacteriia bacterium. RNAcentral describes it as "tRNA-Pro". It matches the Rfam family "tRNA", at positions 9 to 64 of the family's 71-position model. From Rfam's summary of the family: Transfer RNA (tRNA) molecules are approximately 80 nucleotides in length. Their secondary structure includes four short double-helical elements and three loops (D, anti-codon, and T loops). Lineage: Bacteria; Bacillati; Actinomycetota; Coriobacteriia. The record is from RNAcentral.
GGCGCAGUUUGGUAGCGCACUUGACUGGGGGUCAAGGGGCCGCAGGUUCAAAUCCUGUC